UAGGGAGUUUUCGGCAAUGGGGGCAACCCUGACCGAGCAACGCCGCGUGAGUGAUGAAGGUCUUCGGAUUGUAAAACUCUGUUGUGGAGGACGAAUGGUAGGGAUAGGCAAUGAUCUCUAUUUGACAGUACUUCAUUAGAAAGCCAUGGCUAACUAUGUGCCAGCAGCCGCGGUAAUACAUAGGUGGCAAGCGUUAUCCGGAAUUAUUGGGCGUAAAGAGUGAGUAGGUGGCCAUUUAAGUCACAAGUCAAAUGCAGUAGCUCAACUACUGUUCGCUUGUGAUACUGAAAGGCUAGAGUGCGAGAGGGGUAAGUGGAAUUCCAUGUGUAGCGGUGAAAUGCGUAGAUAUAUGGAGGAACACCAGUGGCGAAGGCGGCUUACUGGC
Molecule: ribosomal RNA, 385 nt
Filed under: uncultured bacterium
Lineage: Bacteria
Description: bacterial SSU rRNA
Rfam family: Bacterial small subunit ribosomal RNA
Source: RNAcentral